This 376-nucleotide ribosomal RNA is filed under the name uncultured Thermomonas sp. RNAcentral describes it as "bacterial SSU rRNA". It matches the Rfam family "Bacterial small subunit ribosomal RNA", at positions 524 to 898 of the family's 1533-position model. The record is from RNAcentral. Lineage: Bacteria; Pseudomonadati; Pseudomonadota; Gammaproteobacteria; Lysobacterales; Lysobacteraceae.
UACGAAGGGUGCAAGCGUUACUCGGAAUUACUGGGCGUAAAGCGUGCGUAGGUGGUUCGUUAAGUCCGAUGUGAAAGCCCUGGGCUCAACCUGGGAAUGGCAUUGGAUACUGGCGGGCUAGAGUGCGGUAGAGGGUAGUGUAAUUCCCGGUGUAGCAGUGAAAUGCGUAGAGAUCGGGAGGAACAUCCGUGGCGAAGGCGACUACCUGGACCAGCACUGACACUGAGGCACGAAAGCGUGGGGAGCAAACAGGAUUAGAUACCCUGGUAGUCCACGCCCUAAACGAUGCGAACUGGAUGUUGGGCUCAACUUGGAGCUCAGUAUCGAAGCUAACGCGUUAAGUUCGCCGCCUGGGGAGUACGGUCGCAAGACUGAA